RNAcentral lists this long non-coding RNA (1295 nucleotides) under Homo sapiens (human). RNAcentral describes it as "HSALNT0382877". Lineage: Eukaryota; Metazoa; Chordata; Mammalia; Primates; Hominidae. The record is from RNAcentral.
CUCACCUCAGCCUCCCAAAGGCAAGCUUCUAGAACAGCACAUGGACAGAAGAUAUUGAUGUUGUGGAUUGGCUGUAACUCUGCUCUGGGAUCCAGGCUGAAGGAGCAGGCUCUAUCUGGAACAUUACUAGUCUCCAGGCAGAAGAAAAAGAGACAAUGGAAUGGAUGAUUGAAUGGAUGAAUGAACUCCACAGGAAGAUGAGGAAAGCCUUUAUGGAUGGAGUGAGCUUGCAGCAGAGUCUCAAAGGGUGAGUAGAGUUUUCCAGGUAGGGAAGUGUGUGGGUGAGUAGUCCAGAUCGAGUCAAAGGUAUGGGAGCAAGGAACGGCCUGGUGCAUUCCAGAAGUGUUGAUAAUGUCACUGGCUGACUCGGAGGGUGUGAAGGGGAGGAGAAGGAGGGAAGGCUAGAGAGGGAAGGUAGAAAGGAAGUGGAGGCGAAAAAAGAUGCUGAAGGGCCUCCUGUACCUCCAGGAAGAGUUUGAAUGUUAUCAUUUGGGCAAUGGGAAGCUAUUCCUGGGUCUUCACAAGGGAAUCAGUUGGUGAGAACUGCUGUUUAGAAAGACAGCCCUGGCAGCAACUCAAGCGCUGGGAGAGGACAGAACCACCAGGGAAGAGGGUAUGGGGAAGAAGAGCAGCAGGCUGAGGACAGGCCCAGGACUGAAGAAUCAGGCACAGGAAGAAGAGUCCAUGGGGCAGGCUGUGAAAUGGACAAAGGAAAACCAGAGGUGCUUCCCAAGCAGGGGGCCUGGCCACCAGAGUCCCAAGCUACCAAGAUGUCAAGUAAAGAAGAACUGAAAGCCAACUGCUGGAUGCAGCAGUGAGUGGGGGUCACAGUGGCCUUUGCCAGAACUGUUCCAGUGGAGGAGUAGAGGAAGAGAGAAAACCACAGGAGCAGGCAUCGCAAGCUCAUGCUCCACCCACACGUCCCCUUUCUCCUUUAGUCCUGUGACCCAUGUGCUUGCUCUCUUUCUCUCUCAAAGGAGAUCCAAAUUUAAAAAUAUGGAGCCAAGGGAAUCAGUUCCUUUGCGAACACACUGAACGUUAGUUUUCUUCUUCUCUUUUGCAAAAACUUCUUAUUUCACAAAAUACUCAAACAAAUAGACAAAGUACAGUGAAGUCCAGGUAGAUAUCAUCCACCUUCAGCAAUGAUCAAUCCAUGGCCAAUCUUUCAUCUCAACACUCGUAUCCUCAUUCUUGUGGAGCAAAUGCCAGACAUUCUUUCAUCCAUCAGUAUGUCAAUAUGUAUCUCUGAAAUAGAAGGACUUUUUAUAAAACAUAAUCAUAAUAUAAUUAAUAUU